RNAcentral lists this ribosomal RNA (300 nucleotides) under uncultured bacterium. RNAcentral's name for it is "bacterial SSU rRNA". It matches the Rfam family "Bacterial small subunit ribosomal RNA", at positions 335 to 651 of the family's 1533-position model. The record is from RNAcentral.
UACCUACGGGAGGCAGCAGUGGGGGAUAUUGCACAAUGGGGGAAACCCUGAUGCAGCGACGCCGCGUGGGCGAAGAAGUAUUUCGGUAUGUAAAGCCCUAUCAGCAGGGAAGAAGAAGUGACGGUACCUGAGUAAGAAGCACCGGCUAAAUACGUGCCAGCAGCCGCGGUAAUACGUAGGGGGCAAGCGUUAUCCGGAUUUACCGGGUGUAAAGGGAGCGUAGACGGUAUGGCAAGUCUGAUGUGAAAACCCGGGGCUCAACCCCGGGACUGCAUUGGAAACUGUCGGACUAGAGUGUCG